Molecule: ribosomal RNA, 393 nt
Filed under: uncultured bacterium
Lineage: Bacteria
Description: partial 16S ribosomal RNA
Rfam family: Bacterial small subunit ribosomal RNA
Source: RNAcentral
AUACGGAGGAUGCAAGCGUUAUCCGGAUUUAUUGGGUUUAAAGGGUGCGUAGGCGGUUUGCUAAGCGGGAGGUGAAAUGCCGGCGCUCAACGUCGGAAGUGCCUCCCGAACUGGUGGACUUGAAUGACUCUGCCGUGGGAGGAAUGUGUAGUGUAGCGGUGAAAUGCUUAGAGAUUACACAGAACACCGAUUGCGAAGGCAUCUCACGAAGGGUUGAUUGACGCUGAGGCACGAAAGCGUGGGGAUCAAACAGGAUUAGAUACCCUGGUAGUCCACGCAGUAAACGAUGAUGGCUAACCGGUGGGCUUAUCAGUUCAGUGGCCAAGCGAAAGCGAUAAGCCAUCCACCUGGGGAGUACGACCGCAAGGUUGAAACUCAAAUGAAUUGACGGGG